UAUGCUUUGCCGCCGGGUAAAGCUGUAUGAGCGCUCGAAUUUCAUACCAUUAGGCCUUUGAAGGUAUGAACUUUUUGGGCGCUUUCUU
Molecule: non-coding RNA, 88 nt
Filed under: unclassified sequences
Source: RNAcentral